RNAcentral lists this ribosomal RNA (305 nucleotides) under uncultured bacterium. RNAcentral's name for it is "bacterial SSU rRNA". It matches the Rfam family "Bacterial small subunit ribosomal RNA", at positions 335 to 638 of the family's 1533-position model. The record is from RNAcentral.
GGACCUACGGGACGCAGCAGUGAGGAAUAUUGGUCAAUGGCCGGAAGGCUGAACCAGCCAAGUCGCAUGAGGGACGACUGCCCUAUGGGUUGUAAACCUCUUUUAUAAGGGAAGAAUAAAUGCUACGUGUAGCAUGAUGCCUGUACCUUAUGAAUAAGCAUCGGCUAACUCCGUGCCAGCAGCCGCGGUAAUACGGAGGAUGCGCGCGUUAUCCGGAUUUAUUGGGUUUAAAGGGUGCGUAGGCGGUUUUUUAUGUUAGUGGUUAAACGUCGGGGCUUCACCUUGGUUUGCCUUUAACAUUGUUA